AUGCGCCCUGGUACUUAACAGGUUCCGAGAAUUUCCAAAGGACGCAGGUCAGCCUGGCCUUAGCAAGUUUGAGCGAGAUCCGCCGGACUGUGGCGUCCUCUGGUGUCUGUUGCUGGAGCGAGUCCCAAUGAGUUCCCAUCUCCGCCGCAGACACUUUAAGAUUAGUUGGACCCUGAGAGCUAUCCUGAAAAACGGACUACAGGCAGGUGUGAUGGGUAUCACUUCUGAGAGAUGGCAAUUGAAAGCUGCUAUUGGGUGUCUCCUUCAACCUUGAGGUCACAGCUUGGAGACAUGUGUUUCCAAUAACAGGUCCUUACCACGUGAUAACUAACAUCUAAGAACUGGAUCCCAAACAAACAUGUUCCAGGACAUUAGCUUCAAAUAGACCUCCGCCGACACUGGCAUCAAUACCUCCUACCUUUGAUGAUUCAUGAAAGAACAACUAUUAUUCGCCUGUCACUCACCUUUGAUUGGACCCUACCCUGGAUUUCUAAAGGAACAUGGACCCUAGAUCCUUUUCCAGUAUGAACCCCUAACACCAAGCAAUAGUGACUCAUUCUCCUUUCUAAGUCUCCUACAUCAAUUACAAAUCCUAUUCUGGAGUCAGACGUCUCAUAUGAUUCCUGGCUCUGCUACCUAUUAGUAUGAAUUAGGCAAGUUAUUUAACCUCCUUGUGACUAAGUUUCCUCAUCCUUAAAAGAGGAUAAUAAAAAAAUUAUCUCAGAGGGUGUUCUGAGAAAUAAGUUGAUAAAUAUAGGAUUUAUUAGAUCCUAGUGGCCUAAUGUAAAUCAUUAGACCAGAAGAGUAUUUAUCAAAUAAAAUUUAAAGAAGGGAAAGAAACACGGAAGAAAGGAAGGCAGGAAGUAUCUGGCUAUUCAUUUUGAAAAUUACUUCAAUCAAGCUUCAAUCAAGCACGCAUUUACUUAUGUACUCUACUAAUUUCUUAAACACGUUGACCAUAUGGAACAAGCAAGGUCCAGCUAACCUCUGUCCUAUUAUUUGAUAAAGUAAAUUCUCACUUAAUAGAUGAUGAAGAGUUAAAUACAUAAAAGAAUAAAUGAAUGUAUAAAACUAGAAAUCCCUGGAUAUCUGGAAAUGGAUAUAAAAAGUAACAUUUUUCAUAUUUUUCCCAAAUGUACACAAAAAGGAAUAAUCUAUAUGAAGCCCAAGAAAAACAUGAACCAGAGCACUAAGGGGCUAGUAGGCUGAAAUGUACCUAAAUGGGCCUCUUCAAUCAGGCCUCACCAAUUUAGAUACAGUAGACACCCUAUUUCAGGCAUGCAAGAUUCAAUUCCAGCUGUAACAUGGCUCAAACCACUUGCUUUACUGUUUCUCUUACAUAAACAAGGUCAAGUUGAUGGUACUUACUCAUCUCUCCCCAUACUGGAAACACCUUUGAAAAAGGUUCUAUAAGAAUAUGACACUCAGAAUAUAUAAUACCUCAUACCAGUGCCCACCAUGACUCUUCCACAUUGUCCUGUUUGUGUACUUACUCGCUGGGUUUUCCGUGCUAUGGAGACUGACCAUUGGGAUGCCUGGGCCUGGAUUUUAAAAACAUACAUAUUAAAAAUAUGUAUAAAUUAAAAAUUUGUAUAAAUAUUUUAAA
Molecule: long non-coding RNA, 1606 nt
Organism: Felis catus (domestic cat)
Lineage: Eukaryota; Metazoa; Chordata; Mammalia; Carnivora; Felidae
Exons: 3
Source: RefSeq, a predicted model, not a curated record